GACGAACGCUGGCGGCGUGCUUAACACAUGCAAGUCGAACGGAAAGGCCCUGCUUUUGUGGGGUGCUCGAGUGGCGAACGGGUGAGUAACACGUGAGUAACCUGCCCUUGACUUUGGGAUAACUUCAGGAAACUGGGGCUAAAACCGGAUAGGAGCUCCUGCUGCAUGGUGGGGGUUGGAAAGUUUCGGCGGUUGGGGAUGGACUCGCGGCUUAUCAGCUUGUUGGUGGGGUAGUGGCUUACCAAGGCUUUGACGGGUAGCCGGCCUGAGAGGGUGACCGGCCACAUUGGGACUGAGAUGCGGCCCAGACUCCUACGGGAGGCAGCAGUGGGGAAUAUUGCACAAUGGGCGGAGGCCUGAUGCAGCAACGCCGCGUGCGGGAUGACGGCCUUCGGGUUGUAAACCGCUUUCGCCUGUGACGAAGCGUGAGUGACGGUAAUGGGUAAAGAAGCACCGGCUAACUACGUG
This 468-nucleotide ribosomal RNA is filed under the name uncultured bacterium. RNAcentral describes it as "partial 16S ribosomal RNA". It matches the Rfam family "Bacterial small subunit ribosomal RNA", at positions 28 to 507 of the family's 1533-position model. The record is from RNAcentral.